Molecule: ribosomal RNA, 166 nt
Filed under: Pseudomonas sp. MD195_PC81_125
Lineage: Bacteria; Pseudomonadati; Pseudomonadota; Gammaproteobacteria; Pseudomonadales; Pseudomonadaceae
Description: partial 16S ribosomal RNA
Rfam family: Bacterial small subunit ribosomal RNA
Source: RNAcentral
CGUUCCCGGGCCUUGUACACACCGCCCGUCACACCAUGGGAGUGGGUUGCACCAGAAGUAGCUAGUCUAACCUUCGGGAGGACGGUUACCACGGUGUGAUUCAUGACUGGGGUGAAGUCGUAACAAGGUAGCCGUAGGGGAACCUGCGGCUGGAUCACCUCCUUAA